RNAcentral lists this ribosomal RNA (501 nucleotides) under uncultured bacterium. Its description in RNAcentral is "bacterial SSU rRNA". It matches the Rfam family "Bacterial small subunit ribosomal RNA", at positions 791 to 1304 of the family's 1533-position model. The record is from RNAcentral.
UAGUCCAUGCCGUAAACGAUGAUUACUCGAUGUUGGUUCGCCAGUGUCUAAGCGAAAGUUAUAAGUAAUCCACCUGGGGAGUACGAUCGCAAGAUUGAAACUCAAAGGAAUUGACGGGGGCCCGCACAAGCGGUGGAGCAUGUGGUUUAAUUCGAUGAUACGCGAGGAACCUUACCUAGGCUUAAAUGUUAUAUGACAGCUUGUGAAAGCAAGUUUCCCUUGUGGCAUAUAAUAAGGUGCUGCAUGGUUGUCGUCAGCUCGUGCUGUGAGGUGUCGGGUUAAGUCCCAUAACGAGCGCAACCCUUGUCUUUAGUUGCCAUCAUUUAGUUGGGCACUCUAGAGAAACUGCCGGUGACAAACCGGAGGAAGGUAAGGAUGACGUCAAGUCAGCAUGCCCCUUACGCUCUGGGCUACACACGUGCUACAACGGUCGUGACAAAGAGUUGCUAGUCUGCGAAGGCAAGCCAAUCUCAUAAACGCGGCCUUAGUUCGGAUUGCAGG